GGCCUGAUAGUUCAGUGGUAGAAUUCUUGCUUUGGGUUGGUGAAAUCUAAUUUGUAAGAGGUCUCCGGUUCGAUCCCGGAUUAGGCCC
Molecule: transfer RNA, 88 nt
Filed under: Sclerotinia sclerotiorum 1980 UF-70
Lineage: Eukaryota; Fungi; Ascomycota; Leotiomycetes; Helotiales; Sclerotiniaceae
Description: tRNA-Pro for anticodon UGG
Rfam family: tRNA
About the family: Transfer RNA (tRNA) molecules are approximately 80 nucleotides in length.
Source: Rfam by way of RNAcentral